CCUACGGGAGGCAGCAGUGAGGAAUAUUGGUCAAUGGGCGGGAGCCUGAACCAGCCAAGCCGCGUGAGGGAAGAAGGUACAGCGUAUCGUAAACCUCUUUUGUCAGGGAACAAAGGCGGGGACUAGUCCCCGGAUGAGGGUACCUGAAGAAAAAGCAUCGGCUAACACCGUGCCAGCCGCCGCGGUAAUACGGAGGAUGCGAGCGUUAUCCGGAUGUAUUGGGUUUAAAGGGUGGGCAGGGGGCCUGUUAAGUCAGCGGUAAAAGCCCGGGGCUCAACCCCGGCGAGCAGUUGAAACUGGCGGGCUGGAGUUGGAGAGAGGGACGCGGAACGCGCGGUGUAGCGGUGAAAUGCUUAGAUA
Molecule: ribosomal RNA, 360 nt
Filed under: uncultured bacterium
Lineage: Bacteria
Description: partial 16S ribosomal RNA
Rfam family: Bacterial small subunit ribosomal RNA
Source: RNAcentral